GAACGCACAUUGCGCCCAUUAGUAUUCUAGUGGGCAUGCCUGUUCGAGCGUCAUUAAGUCCACUUAAGCCUUGCUUAGUAUUGGGAAUCUACCGAAGCUACCCUGUAGCUACCCUGUAGUUCCUUAAAGACAUCGGCGGAGUUGUUAUAUCUCUGAGCUUAGUAAAUAUUCAAAGCUUCUGGGCCAUCACAUCCCCUGCCGUUAAACCUUCUGCUUGCAGAAUUUUAAUGGUUGACCUCGGAUCAGGUAGGAAUACCCGCUGAACUUAAG
This 270-nucleotide unclassified non-coding RNA is filed under the name uncultured Xylariales. Its description in RNAcentral is "sequence contains 5.8S rRNA gene". The stretch from base 1 to 53 matches the Rfam family "5.8S ribosomal RNA", at positions 102 to 154 of the family's 154-position model. Lineage: Eukaryota; Fungi; Ascomycota; Sordariomycetes; Xylariales. The record is from RNAcentral.